CCCAGCCUGGAUUGUACGACAGCCCUGCACAUUUUGAACCUACAUCUUGACACUUGGGACUCCUAUAUCUUCAGGUGGCUGUCAGGCCUCCCCUGAGUGGAAGGCAAAAGCCUGAAUGCGGAAACCCGCUUAGCGAUACGCUAGGCGUCAAAAUAGCAGGGAACGGCACUCCGGGUUUCUU
Molecule: non-coding RNA, 181 nt
Filed under: Lachnospiraceae bacterium
Lineage: Bacteria; Bacillati; Bacillota; Clostridia; Lachnospirales; Lachnospiraceae
Description: 6S RNA
Rfam family: 6S / SsrS RNA
About the family: E. coli 6S RNA was the first non coding RNA to be sequenced, but its function was unknown until recently. It consists of 184 nucleotides that fold into an extended hairpin structure with a large single-stranded internal bulge. The 6S RNA specifically associates with RNA polymerase holoenzyme containing the sigma70 specificity factor.
Source: RNAcentral